GACGAACGCUGGCGGCGUGCUUAACACAUGCAAGUCGAACGGAAAGGCCCUGCUUUUGUGGGGUGCUCGAGUGGCGAACGGGUGAGUAACACGUGAGUAACCUGCCCUUGACUUUGGGAUAACUUCAGGAAACUGGGGCUAAUACCGGAUAGGAGCUCCUGCUGCAUGGUGGGGGUUGGAAAGUUUCGGCGGUUGGGGAUGGACUCGCGGCUUAUCAGCUUGUUGGUGGGGUAGUGGCUUACCAAGGCUUUGACGGGUAGCCGGCCUGCGAGGGUGACCGGCCACAUUGGGACUGAGAUACGGCGCAGACUCCUACGGGAGGCAGCGGUGGGGAAUAUUACACAAUGGGCUGAAGCCUGAUGCAGCAACGCCGCGUGCGGGAUGACGGCCUUCGGGUUGUAAACCGCUUUCGCCUGUGACGAAGCGUGAGUGACGGUAAUGGGUAAAGAAGCACCGGCUAACUACGUG
Molecule: ribosomal RNA, 468 nt
Filed under: uncultured bacterium
Lineage: Bacteria
Description: partial 16S ribosomal RNA
Rfam family: Bacterial small subunit ribosomal RNA
Source: RNAcentral